Molecule: long non-coding RNA, 489 nt
Organism: Prionailurus viverrinus (fishing cat)
Lineage: Eukaryota; Metazoa; Chordata; Mammalia; Carnivora; Felidae
Exons: 3
Source: RefSeq, a predicted model, not a curated record
GCGCGCUUACGUACGCACGGGCUCGUGCUCGUACCUCCUACUGCGUGGCGCGUUGGUUGCGCCUCCGAAAUGGAUCUGGAGCAGAGAUUCGAACUGAAACAUUGGCUCUUGGGUCUCAAGCCUGCUAUCCUUCAGACUGGAACUUAUGCCAUCAGCUCUUCUGAUUCUCAGGCUUUGGGAUUUGGAGUGGAACUAUACCAUCAGCUCUCCUGGAUCUCCAGCUUGCUAACUGCAGAUCUUGAGACUUCUCAUCCUCCAUGACCACGCAGAAUGAUUAGUAGAAGUUGGUUGAGGAGGUUCACUUCUUGGUCCUUGAAAGUCAAGAGAAUUAAUACAACAGAACCAUCGGAAAACUAAGGUCAAAGAUCACAAAAAGGACUCUCGAAAAGGGCUCUUCAAAUAAAUCAUUUCUGUCUCAAUUUACCCUCUGGAUGGUUAUCAAGAAAACAAAACUAGACAUGCUUACUAUGUACAUAUAAGUAGAUUCUA